UAACCAUAAAGUUUCCGUUUCUAAUCGGUGACUUUUUGUAACAUGAAGCAGAAAUGUUGAUGGCAAGAAACAUAUCUGGGAAGUCUACUCAGGAUUGAGGAUUCCUGGUAAAUUUGUGCAUGGAGACAGAAGCUCUCAAUCGGACAAAGGGAUGUGAAAAUGGAAGAAGC
Molecule: long non-coding RNA, 170 nt
Organism: Mus musculus (house mouse)
Lineage: Eukaryota; Metazoa; Chordata; Mammalia; Rodentia; Muridae
Product: predicted gene, 30867
Exons: 3
Source: RefSeq, a predicted model, not a curated record